This 704-nucleotide long non-coding RNA is filed under the name Heterocephalus glaber (naked mole-rat). RNAcentral describes it as "lncRNA (ENSHGLG00100043287.1)". Lineage: Eukaryota; Metazoa; Chordata; Mammalia; Rodentia; Bathyergidae. The record is from RNAcentral.
CAACGGAGGCCCGGAGAAAGGGGCUGAGUUUGCGAAUUUUUAAGUUAAAAACUUCACCUAAGGUAAAAAGAAAAAGUUAUUUUGACUAUUAAGUAAAUACAGAUACAAGCAAUACACAGAUUUGGCAGAAUUGUGAUAUGACGCAAAUGUGGACCACUGAAGUUUCUCAACAGGACUCUCCUUUGUAUGCACUCUGACUUGGUCAAGUUUCCUGACCUCUCUGUGCCUCAGUUUCCUCACCCAUAAAGAAGUUGAGGCUGUAUUGUUAGCACCUGUUUUGCAAAGUUACUGGAAGGAGCAAAUGUGCUGAUAUGAGCAAAGCACCUACAAGGAAGCAGCAAGUGAAGGUUCACGACACACAGACCACUUUCUUCUUGACUUUCCUCAGUGCCAUCCUUGUAGCCUCCAGGAUUGUGUUGUACUGUAAGACUGAGAGCUGCUUCCUCAAGAGUCACCCCAACCAGGCUUGUCACACAGCUAGCACAGAGCUUGCUCCCCAAAACAACAGAAGGGAGACUACAGUAUUAACUUUCAUGGUUCUGCUUACUCUUUCCUUGAACAUCUUUAAGGCUCUGGAUACAAACAACUUGGCUGACAUACUAGCUAUGCCCUUUACUAACUGUGUGACUUUGGGCAGUGCCCUGCUUCAGAUUCCUCAUCUGUAAAAUACAGAGAAAAAUGUAAUUGUUAUGCAGAUUAAACUA